This 321-nucleotide long non-coding RNA is filed under the name Capsicum annuum. Its description in RNAcentral is "long non-coding RNA (CANN_LNC008046)". Lineage: Eukaryota; Viridiplantae; Streptophyta; Magnoliopsida; Solanales; Solanaceae. The record is from RNAcentral.
GCAUCUCCAAUCACUAUCUCAGUCUCUACUCCUAUCUCAAUAUUUAUCAUUGUAAUAGUUCUGACCUUGAUUCUCUUGCCCCUGGGCUCAAAUAUCCACCAACUGAUAAUCAAGAUACUUUUAUUCCUCUUCAAACUCAGUCUUAUAAGUUCUAGAUGUAGAACUCUAUGCCUCUACUAUAUUUACUUUCUCAGUACUCAUUGUUGCAAAUUUUUUUGUAAGAAUCCCAAUGUCUAUUUGAAGCCGGGAAAACUCUUAAGCUAUAAAAUCAUGACCAACUCCUUCAUCAUUAGUUUCUCCAAUAGAAUAUGUACCUAUACC